Long non-coding RNA from Cannabis sativa, 616 nucleotides. RefSeq lists it as uncharacterized. NCBI's taxonomy places the organism in Eukaryota, Viridiplantae, Streptophyta, Magnoliopsida, Rosales, Cannabaceae. The transcript has 4 exons. The record is from RefSeq and is a predicted model, not a curated record.
UGUUGAUGAGUUGAUAGACUUAAAACAAAUCAAACCAUAUUCUUAUCCUCUUUCUUUCUUUGCUCGGGUAGGAGAAAGCCAAGGAAAAUAAUACCUAAACACUAAAACUCAGACCCUAAUUCUCCCUUUGUUCAUCUAAGAAUUUAAUUAGAAGAAGGAUUCUAUUACAAGAUUUAGAAGGACCGAGAUCGUCAAGCAUUUCUCCACUCGGGUUGACCAGCAUGGAAGAGUUUGGAUUAAAGGUAAUGACAGUGACUUGGAUGACUGGUUAGGCUUAUUAAGGUUACUUUAAGGCAAUAAUGGAAAAUGGUUACCUUAUAAGGUGAUGUCAGAGAACAGAGCUGUAGCGUCAAUCACACUCCCCAACAUCUGUAACCUCACGUGUUUGCUCACAUUUUUCACAAUUUCAAUCAUGGUUCUUUAUUUUAUAGACAUUUCAGUAUACUGCAUAGCAAUGUUAUUUUGUUAUUGUAUACUAUAUUUUUUAUUUUUAAAAAAUGUGUUUGCAUAUUAUAGGAAUGUUAUAUAUGUACUUUUUUCAUAUAAUUAGGAUAUAUUUUCAGUUUUUGAGUGUAUUGUUGAAAUAACUUUUUGUUAGAGUAUAUUUUUGUAUUUA